UCCCACCCGUGUCUAUCGUACCUUGUUGCUUCGGCGGGCCCGCCGUUUCGACGGCCGCCGGGGAGGCCUUGCGCCCCCGGGCCCGCGCCCGCCGAAGACCCCAACAUGAACGCUGUUCUGAAAGUAUGCAGUCUGAGUUGAUUAUCGUAAUCAGUUAAAACUUUCAACAACGGAUCUCUUGGUUCCGGCAUCGAUGAAGAACGCAGCGAAAUGCGAUAAGUAAUGUGAAUUGCAGAAUUCAGUGAAUCAUCGAGUCUUUGAACGCACAUUGCGCCCCCUGGUAUUCCGGGGGGCAUGCCUGUCCGAGCGUCAUUGCUGCCCUCAAGCACGGCUUGUGUGUUGGGCCCCCGUCCCCCUCUCCCGGGGGACGGGCCCGAAAGGCAGCGGCGGCACCGCGUCCGGUCCUCGAGCGUAUGGGGCUUUGUCACCUGCUCUGUAGGCCCGGCCGGCGCCAGCCGACACCCAACUUUAUUUUUCUAAGGUUGACCUCGGAUCAGGUAGGGAUACCCGCUGAACUUAAGCAUAUCAAUA
RNAcentral lists this ribosomal RNA (531 nucleotides) under Aspergillus fumigatus. RNAcentral describes it as "eukaryotic LSU rRNA". The stretch from base 159 to 312 matches the Rfam family "5.8S ribosomal RNA". Lineage: Eukaryota; Fungi; Ascomycota; Eurotiomycetes; Eurotiales; Aspergillaceae. The record is from RNAcentral.